GAUGAACGCUGGCGGCGUGCCUAAUACAUGCAAGUCGAGCGAACGGACGAGAAGCUUGCUUCUCUGAUGUUAGCGGCGGACGGGUGAGUAACACGUGGAUAACCUACCUAUAAGACUGGGAUAACUUCGGGAAACCGGAGCUAAUACCGGAUAAUAUUUUGAACCGCAUGGUUCAGAAGUGAAAGACGGUCUUGCUGUCACUUAUAGAUGGAUCCGCGCUGCAUUAGCUAGUUGGUAAGGUAACGGCUUACCAAGGCAACGAUGCAUAGCCGACCUGAGGGGGUGAUCGGCCACACUGGAACUGGGACACGGUCCAGACUCCUACGGGAGGCAGCAGUAGGGAAUCUUCCGCAAUGGGCGAAAGCCUGACGGAGCAACGCCGCGUGAGUGAUGAAGGUCUUCGGAUCGUAAAACUCUGUUAUUAGGGAAGAACAUAUGUGUAAGUAACUGUGCACAUCUUGACGGUACCUAAUCAGAAAGCCACGGCUAACUACGUG
RNAcentral lists this ribosomal RNA (497 nucleotides) under uncultured bacterium. RNAcentral describes it as "partial 16S ribosomal RNA". It matches the Rfam family "Bacterial small subunit ribosomal RNA", at positions 28 to 507 of the family's 1533-position model. The record is from RNAcentral.